This 74-nucleotide transfer RNA is filed under the name Streptosporangiaceae bacterium. Its description in RNAcentral is "tRNA-Leu". It matches the Rfam family "tRNA". From Rfam's summary of the family: Transfer RNA (tRNA) molecules are approximately 80 nucleotides in length. Lineage: Bacteria; Bacillati; Actinomycetota; Actinomycetes; Streptosporangiales; Streptosporangiaceae. RNAcentral also lists the same sequence under 1 other name. The record is from RNAcentral.
GCCCCCGUAGCCCAAAGGAAGAGGCACACCCCCUAAAAGGGUCCUAGGUGUCGGUUCGAGCCCGACCGGGGGUA